GCCAUUCAGCGUGAGUGAAGAAGGCAUUGCGGGUUGUAAGCUCUUUGCAGGGAAGAGGACUUAUGCCUCUACAUAGGAUGAGGUUGACGGUACCUUGAUAAUGAAGGCACCGGCUUAAUUACGUGCCAGCAGCCGCGGUAAUACGUAGGGUGCGAGCGUUAUCGGAAUUACUGGGCGUUAAGCGUGCGCAGGCGGUUUUAGUAAGUCAGAUGUGAAAUCCCUGAGCUCAACUUGGGAACUGCGUAUUGAAACUAGCUAGACCUAGCAUAUGUCAGAGGGGGGUAG
Molecule: ribosomal RNA, 285 nt
Filed under: uncultured Methylotenera sp.
Lineage: Bacteria; Pseudomonadati; Pseudomonadota; Betaproteobacteria; Nitrosomonadales; Methylophilaceae
Description: partial 16S ribosomal RNA
Rfam family: Bacterial small subunit ribosomal RNA
Source: RNAcentral